This 253-nucleotide ribosomal RNA is filed under the name uncultured bacterium. RNAcentral's name for it is "partial 16S ribosomal RNA". It matches the Rfam family "Bacterial small subunit ribosomal RNA", at positions 524 to 776 of the family's 1533-position model. The record is from RNAcentral.
UACGUAGGGUGCAAGCGUUGUCCGGAAUUAUUGGGCGUAAAGAGCUCGUAGGCGGUUUGUUGCGUCGGCUGUGAAAUCCCGAGGCUCAACCUCGGGUCUGCAGUCGAUACGAGCAAACUAGAGUGUUGCAGGGGAGACUGGAAUUCCUGGUGUAGCGGUGAAAUGCGCAGAUAUCAGGAGGAACACCGGUGGCGAAGGCGGGUCUCUGGGCCGAAACUGACGCUGAGGAGCGAAAGCGUGGGGAGCAAACAGG